This 468-nucleotide ribosomal RNA is filed under the name uncultured bacterium. RNAcentral's name for it is "partial 16S ribosomal RNA". It matches the Rfam family "Bacterial small subunit ribosomal RNA", at positions 28 to 507 of the family's 1533-position model. The record is from RNAcentral.
GACGAACGCUGGCGGCGUGCUUAACACAUGCAAGUCGAACGGAAAGGCCCUGCUUUUGUGGGGUGCUCGAGUGGCGAACGGGUGAGUAACACGUGAGUAACCUGCCCUUGACUUUGGGAUAACUUCAGGAAACUGGGGCUAAUACCGGAUAGGAGCUCCUGCUGCAUGGUGGGGGCUGGAAAGUUUCGGCGGGUGGGGAUGGACUCGCGGCGUAUCAGCUUGUUGGUGGGGUAGUGGCUUACCAAGGCUUUGACGGGUAGCCGGCCUGAGAGGGUGCCCGGCCACAUUGGGACGGAGAUACGGCCCAGACUCCUACGGGAGGCAGCAGUGGGGAAUAUUGCACAAUGGGCGGAAGCCUGAUGCAGCAACGCCGCGUGCGGUAUGACGGCCUUCGGGUUGUAAACCGCUUUCGCCUGUGACGAAGCGUGAGUGACGGUAAUGGGUAAAGAAGCACCGGCUAACUACGUG